UGCGGAGUAGAGAAGUGGUCAUCUCGUCAGCCUCAUGAGCUGAAGAACGUUGGUUCGAGUCCAACCUCACGCAA
Molecule: transfer RNA, 74 nt
Filed under: Caudoviricetes sp.
Lineage: Duplodnaviria; Heunggongvirae; Uroviricota; Caudoviricetes
Description: tRNA-Met
Rfam family: tRNA
About the family: Transfer RNA (tRNA) molecules are approximately 80 nucleotides in length. Their secondary structure includes four short double-helical elements and three loops (D, anti-codon, and T loops). Further hydrogen bonds mediate the characteristic L-shaped molecular structure. tRNAs have two regions of fundamental functional importance: the anti-codon, which is responsible for specific mRNA codon recognition, and the 3' end, to which the tRNAs corresponding amino acid is attached (by aminoacyl-tRNA synthetases). tRNAs cope with the degeneracy of the genetic code in two manners: having more than one tRNA (with a specific anti-codon) for a particular amino acid; and 'wobble' base-pairing, i.e. permitting non-standard base-pairing at the 3rd anti-codon position.
Source: RNAcentral